AGAUGCGAUCAUACCAGCACUAAAGCAUCAGAUCCCAUCAAAACUCCAAAGUUAAGCGUGCUUGGGUGAGAGUAGUACUAGGAUGGGUGACCUCUUGGGAAGUCCUCGUGUUGCAUUCC
RNAcentral lists this ribosomal RNA (119 nucleotides) under Triticum aestivum (bread wheat). The record is from RNAcentral. Lineage: Eukaryota; Viridiplantae; Streptophyta; Magnoliopsida; Poales; Poaceae.